Molecule: ribosomal RNA, 469 nt
Filed under: Lomentaria articulata
Lineage: Eukaryota; Rhodophyta; Florideophyceae; Rhodymeniales; Lomentariaceae
Description: eukaryotic LSU rRNA
Rfam family: Eukaryotic large subunit ribosomal RNA
Source: RNAcentral
ACCGUUACGACAGAAGCGUAUUGCGUUGAAUUGAGGGCUGUUUAACUCUUCAGCUGAACGUGAGUUUAGUGUACUGAGUUAAGUAGUUAUCCGUCGGUGCCUUUUCUGUGGGUGAUAUUGAGCCGCGGGAGAGGGAGGGAUCCCCUUUAUGGGUGAGGACGAUGGAGUGGCAACGCGAUGCGACCCGUCUUGAAACACGGACCAAGGAGUCUAACAUGUUUGCGAGUUGAAGGGUAGUAAACCUGGAGGCGCAGUGAAAGCGAACUUCUAAAACGGACAGUUUGUGGCGGCAUAAAAUCGUUGAUUUUAGGUCUGACUAAGAGCAAAUAUGUUAGGACCCGAAAGAUGGUGAACUAUGCUUGAGUAGGCCGAAGGCAGAAGAAAUUCUGCUGGAGGGCCGAAGUCGGUGCUGACGUGCAAAUCGCUCGUCGAACUCGAGUAUAGGGGCGAAAGACUAAUCGAACCAUCU